CUGCCAGUUUCGCUCCCGGUUAGCCCAGAACUUUUUAUAGCAUAGAAUUUUAAAGCAAGGGCUUAGAAUCAGACCUGGGUCAAAAUCCUGCCUUCCACCUUCACCAAGGUAGUGUGACCUUGACGUUCCUACAUAAGAGAUUAAAAUACCCCAAAUUCCAGCGAAACAGCUGAUGCCAGCCAGCUUGAAGACCCCUGCCACAGAAGAAGGGAAUCAGCAUGAGAAUACAGCUUCAUCUCCCUGUCCCAUGACUUCGCCCUGUACUCUUCAGCCAAUUAAUGAUCUCCACACUUGGGACCACUCCAAAACCCUUAAGAACCUGAGCCUCAAAGUCCUCCUGGAGACGAAUUUGAGGUUUCCUACUAUCUGUGUUUGGUGGCCCUAUGAUUAAACCUCUUUCUCUUCUGCAACCUGGUGUCCCAGUGUAUUAACUUGCCAUGGGCAUCAGACAACAAACCUAUAUAUAGUAUCCCAAAUAUGGUGCUCCACUUUGAAA
RNAcentral lists this long non-coding RNA (496 nucleotides) under Pan troglodytes (chimpanzee). RNAcentral describes it as "lincRNA". The record is from RNAcentral. Lineage: Eukaryota; Metazoa; Chordata; Mammalia; Primates; Hominidae.